This 497-nucleotide ribosomal RNA is filed under the name uncultured bacterium. Its description in RNAcentral is "partial 16S ribosomal RNA". It matches the Rfam family "Bacterial small subunit ribosomal RNA", at positions 28 to 507 of the family's 1533-position model. The record is from RNAcentral.
GAUGAACGCUGGCGGCGUGCCUAAUACAUGCAAGUCGAGCGAACAGACGAGGAGCUUGCUCCUCUGACGUUAGCGGCGGACGGGUGAGUAACACGUGGAUAACCUACCUAUAAGACUGGGAUAACUUCGGGAAACCGGAGCUAAUACCGGAUAAUAUAUUGAACCGCAUGGUUCAAUAGUGAAAGACGGUUUUGCUGUCACUUAUAGAUGGAUCCGCGCCGCAUUAGCUAGUUGGUAAGGUAACGGCUUACCAAGGCAACGAUGCGUAGCCGACCUGAGAGGGUGAUCAGCCACACUGGAACUGAGACACGGUCCAGACUCCUACGGGAGGCAGCAGUAGGGAAUAUUCCGCAAUGGGCGAAAGCCUGACGGAGCAACGCCGCGUGAGUGAUGAAGGUCUUCGGAUCGUAAAACUCUGUUAUUAGGGAAGAACAAAUGUGUAAGUAACUAUGCACGUCUUGACGGUACCUAAUGAGAAAGCCACGGCUAACUACGUG